CUUGAGAGGUGGCUUUGAGCUAAAGGUAUCGUGAGGCUUGAGAACUGAGGCAGGAGUGAGGGAGCGGGGAGUCACACCACAAGGAGAGAUGGCCAGCGGAGUACAAUGCCACACCAGAGGGGAACGGAACCAAACGCUGAAGGGACCUUCUCAAGAUCACUGAAGAGCAGAAUCGCAACUAGAAAGGGUACUUAUUCUUAAGAUCAAGAAGCGUGAAGUCAAUUAUUUCUGUCCUUUGUGGUAAAUGUACACCUUGGACAAUGCCAGCAUCAACUGGAACACUAAGGAUCUUCCCUAUAUAUUCUCGUCUGAGGGAUUGGUAAUGAGAUAUGGACUUGUUUAGAUUCUCCUGAGUAAAUUACUGGAAGUCAGUAGCAUCUGAAGGUUGAGGUCAUCACAGAGUCAUCCUUAACUGUCAGUGCAGUUCCCAGCUGAGAAAGGCCUAAAUCAGGAACCAGCACCUCCUGUGGCAGUAAGUAGUCUCUUCAUUUCAGCCCUGAGGCGCUUGUGAGAGACCAAGCCACACACACUGAGGCAGGGAGAGAAAACCUCCUCUAAGGCCUUGAGCUCAGUUUCCCACCUCAUUCCUCCCCUGGGGACUCCUCCUUUCCCCUCUUGUACUUAUGGCAUUUCCUAAGGAGAAACAAUAACCUAAGAUCUGUAUAGGGCUUCACUGUCUGCAGACUUUUCAAUACAUUUCACAUAGUCUUGCA
RNAcentral lists this long non-coding RNA (713 nucleotides) under Equus caballus (horse). Its description in RNAcentral is "lncRNA (ENSECAG00000053631.1)". Lineage: Eukaryota; Metazoa; Chordata; Mammalia; Perissodactyla; Equidae. The record is from RNAcentral.